CUACAUGGCCCCCUCAAGGAUUGAACUCACAACAGUGGGUUUAGCAAACCAAUGCUCAAACCACUAAGCUACCCCACAGCUAUGGGCUGUGUGCAAACAAGAGGUAGCUGGGGCUAUGUGAACACAGAGGGUAGCUGUGGGUGCAGGGAGGCAGGUGGCUAGGGGCUGUGUGCGGGCAAGAGGGUAGCUCAGGGUGUACAGAGAGGGGGGUGUCUAGGGGCU
Chelonoidis abingdonii (Abingdon island giant tortoise) is the source of this 222-nucleotide non-coding RNA. The record is from RefSeq and is a predicted model, not a curated record. Lineage: Eukaryota; Metazoa; Chordata; Testudines; Testudinidae.